GAUGAACGCUGGCGGCGUGCCUAAUACAUGCAAGUCGAGCGAACGGACGAGAAGCUUGCUUCUCUGAUGUUAGCGGCGGACGGGUGAGUAACACGUGGAUAACCUACCUAUAAGACUGGGAUAACUUCGGGAAACCGGAGCUAAUACCGGAUAAUAUUUUGAACCGCAUGGUUCAACAGUGAAAGACGGUCUUGCUGUCACUUAUAGAUGGAUACGCGCUGCAUUAGCUAGUUGGUAAGGUAACGGCUUACCAAGGCAACGAUGCAUAGCCGACCUGAGCGAGUGAUCGGCCACACUGGAACUGAGACGCGGUCCAGACGCCUACGGGAGGCAGCAGUAGGGUAUCUUCCGCAAUAGGCGAAAGCCUGACGGAGCGACGCCGCGGGAGUGAUGAAGAUCUCGGAUCGUAAAACUCUGUUAUUAGGGAAGAACAUAUGUGUAAGUAACUGUGCACAUCUUGACGGUACCUAAUCAGAAAGCCACGGCUAACUACGUG
This 496-nucleotide ribosomal RNA is filed under the name uncultured bacterium. RNAcentral's name for it is "partial 16S ribosomal RNA". It matches the Rfam family "Bacterial small subunit ribosomal RNA", at positions 28 to 507 of the family's 1533-position model. The record is from RNAcentral.